AUCUUGGCUGGAUCUUUAUCAGAUGGCUUUGGUGGAGGGAUCCAAAGUCCACUCAGGGCUGAGAGCGCCACCUGGUGACCAAGUUUGUAAGUAAGCUCGUCUCUUGGUUCUAGAUUCAGAAAGCAUGGACAAUUUCUCUUACUUUUAUCUCUGGUCCUCUCUUCCCCUUGUCUGAUGGCUAGUCUUGGCGGUUAAGGUCACACAGCUCAAAACUGAGGAGGGAAUUUCGACUGAGGAACUGCCGCCAUCCUACGGCACCCGGGCACAUUAUGGUGCGUCUUCUUGAUUAACUGAGGUCGCAAGGCGGAGCCCACUGUGGGUGGUGCUAUCCCUAGGCCAUGGGCCUAGGCAAAGCUAAUACGCAGGCAACAGAGUUCCUUGGCCUUCUGCUUUAGUUUUCCUUCCUUGGCUUCUCUCAAUGAUGGCCAUCAAAGCAUAAGCUGGAAAAAAUCCUUUCCGCCUCCAUUUGUGACGUCAUAAUGGUCACCAUAGCAACCAAAGAAAACUAGAACACUUUCCUUUUUGUGUGUUGUUUUUGUUUUGAAAGUGGUUAAUUAGCUUGUAUUGCCCUGAAAUUCCUGAUCCUCCUGCCUCAACCUCCCAAGAGCUGGGGGGCAGGGAGGGGGGAGGGUUGUAUGUAACAUGUCCCACUGAAACACAUUUAUAAUUCCAGUUUAGACCUGCAAGGACUGGUUUUUGUUUCUUUGUUGUUUCCGGUGUGUUUUUUAAGCUCCUUGAAAUAAUUGUUGAACCCCAUAAGCUAUCUGGCUGACCGGACCAGCCUCUUAACAGCAAACCCUGUUUUCAGGGGAGUGACGGUGCACACAGUUGGAACCUACAGAGGAAGCGUCCUGAUGUUAGCCUCUGCUCCCACAUCCCUCAUAGCACACGCUAGAGUUUAAUCCCGAGUGUUGGGAUUAAAGGUAUGCGCCACCACGCCUGGCUAAUCCACCUCUUUUAAGAUUUUUUUUUUUAAGAUUUAUUUAUUUAUAUUUAUUAUAUGAAGUAC
RNAcentral lists this long non-coding RNA (1009 nucleotides) under Mus spicilegus (steppe mouse). RNAcentral describes it as "lncRNA (ENSMSIG00000000739.1)". The record is from RNAcentral. Lineage: Eukaryota; Metazoa; Chordata; Mammalia; Rodentia; Muridae.